UGAGAGACUGUUGAGAUUGAUGAGAAGUUGAUGAAGAGAGAAAAUGAGAGACUGGUGAAGUUGAUGAGAAGUUGAUGAAGAGAGAAAAUGAGAGACUGCUGAAGUUGAUGAGAAGUUGAUGAAGAGAGAAAAUGAGAGACUGCAGAGAUUGAUGAGAAGUUGAUGAAGAGAGAAAAUAAGAGACUGCAGAGGUUGAUGAGAAGUUGAUGAAGAGAGAAAAUAAGAGACUGCUGAGGUUGAUGAGAAGUUGAUGAAGAGAGAAAAUGAGAGACUGCAGAGGUUGAUGAGAAGUUGAUGAAGAGAGAAAAUGAGAGACUGCUGAGGUUGAUGAGAAGUUGAUGAAGAGAGAAAAUAAGAGACUGCUGAGGUUGAUGAGAAGUUGAUGAAGAGAGAAAAUAAGAGACUGCUGAGGUUGAUGAGAAGUUGAUGAAGAGAGAAAAUAAGAGACUGCUGAAGUUGAUGAGAAGUUGAUGAAAAGAGAAAAUAAGAGACUGGUGAAGUUGAUGAGAAGUUGAUGAAGAGAGAAAAUAAGAGGCUGCUGAAGUUGAUUAGAAGUUGAUGAAGAGACAACAUAAAGAGACUGCUGAGGUUGAUUAGAAGUUGAUGAAGAGAGAAAUGAGAGACUGUUGAGAUUAUUGAGAGGUUGAAAAUUUAAGAGAGAGGAAGAGACUGCUAUGACUAGGGGGUUUGGGGCUUACAUGAGGCAGAACACAUGGAACAAAAUUGAUCUUAAAGGAAAUUGAUACAAGUACUCGGAACACUGGAGGUCAAGGAAUAAGAAUCUGACUGGGUGCUUACCAUAUGCUGCUCCACAUAACCUUCGUGUUUGUGUCUUGAAGUUAAAAAAGAGGAGUAAUAUGUAAAACAACUAUACAUAUGUUGUUGCCAGUCUUCAUAUAGCUGCCCAUUGCUUUAUAAAUUUUCCUAUAAACAAAAUAUGGAGAUAAAAACUUAAAACUAAAAAAUGGAUUCCAGGAACUUUAUUUUGCAUUAGUUGUGUCCACUCCUCAGUCUGACUCACAGGAAAAUGAUAUUGCUUAUGACUUGCAAAAAUUAAUAUGAGGUGACUCACAUGCUUCCAGGUAAGAUCGUUCCCCUUAUUGGCAUUGAUAAGUUAAAAGCAAAUGUCAACACCCACCUGUCAACUCAUUGUUUUCGUCCCUCUCUCCUUUUUUUUACCUCAAAGGCUGCGGCUCAAGGGCAACAAAGAGUACCAAAAAAAUAAAAAGCCCGCUACUCGCCGCUCCCACAAAAGUAAAAAGUAAAGAGUAGCCAAAAGAGAGGUCAAUUUCACUUUUACUUUUCCUAU
Eriocheir sinensis (Chinese mitten crab) is the source of this 1309-nucleotide long non-coding RNA. RefSeq lists it as uncharacterized. The record is from RefSeq and is a predicted model, not a curated record. The transcript has 5 exons. NCBI's taxonomy places the organism in Eukaryota, Metazoa, Arthropoda, Malacostraca, Decapoda, Varunidae.